RNAcentral lists this ribosomal RNA (468 nucleotides) under uncultured bacterium. RNAcentral's name for it is "partial 16S ribosomal RNA". It matches the Rfam family "Bacterial small subunit ribosomal RNA", at positions 28 to 507 of the family's 1533-position model. The record is from RNAcentral.
GACGAACGCUGGCGGCGUGCUUAACACAUGCAAGUCGAACGGAAAGGCCCUGCUUUUGUGGGGUGCUCGAGUGGCGAACGGGUGAGUAACACGUGAGUAACCUGCCCUUGACUUUGGGAUAACUUCAGGAAACUGGGGCUAAUACCGGAUAGGAGCUCCUGCUGCAUGGUGGGGGUUGGAAAGUUUCGGCGGUUGGGGAUGGACUCGCGGCUUAUCAGCUUGUUGGUGGGGUAGUGGCUUACCAAGGCUUUGACGGGUAGCCGGCCUGAGAGGGUGACCGGCCACAUUGGGACUGAGAUACGGCCCAGACUCCUACGGGAGGCAGCAGUGGGGAAUAUUGCACAAUGAGCGGAAGCCUGAUGCAGCAACGCCGCGUGCGGGAUGACGGCCUUCGGGUUGUAAACCGCUUUCGCCUGUGACGAAGCGUGAGUGACGGCAAUGGGUAAAGAAGCACCGGCUAACUACGUG